AAUGAACGCUGGCGGCAGGCCUAACACAUGCAAGUCGAACGGAUCCUUCGGGAUUAGUGGCGGACGGGUGAGUAACGCGUGGGAACAUACCCUUUGGUACGGAAUAGCCUCGGGAAACUGGGAGUAAUACCGUACGUGGUCGAGAGACGAAAGAUUUAUCGCCAAAGGAUUGGCCCGCGUUGGAUUAGGUAGUGGGUGGGGUAAGGGCCUACCAAGCCGACGAUCCAUAGCUGGUUUGAGAGGAUGAUCAGCCACACUGGGACUGAGACACGGCCCAGACUCCUACGGGAGGCAGCAGUGGGGAAUCUUAGACAAUGGGGGAAACCCUGAUCUAGCCAUGCCGCGUGAUCGAUGAAGGCCUUAGGGUUGUAAAGAUCUUUCAGGUGGGAAGAUAAUGACUGUACCACCAGAAGAAGCCCCGGCUAACUCCGUGCCAGCCGCCGCGGUAA
RNAcentral lists this ribosomal RNA (449 nucleotides) under uncultured bacterium. RNAcentral describes it as "partial 16S ribosomal RNA". It matches the Rfam family "Bacterial small subunit ribosomal RNA", at positions 29 to 523 of the family's 1533-position model. The record is from RNAcentral.